This is a long non-coding RNA of Homo sapiens (human), 876 nucleotides long. The record is from Ensembl. NCBI's taxonomy places the organism in Eukaryota, Metazoa, Chordata, Mammalia, Primates, Hominidae.
AGUUCAGAAACAAAGCAAUUCAAUACAUGUCUUCAAGAUUUCUAAAGGCAAUGACUUAAUUCUAAGUUCCAUGAAAGCAGGCAUUGUGUGAAUUUCUCCUGCAUCUGGAACUGGCCUAGCACACCAAGGCCUUCACUAGAUACUGGCCUUUUGACUUUGGACUUUCCAGCCUACAGACUGAGGUCUUCGAUUAUGACAUGUGUGAAAUGAGAAGCUCAUUUUGAAUGACACAUUGGUAUAUAUAAAUGAUGUGUGGAAAAUGUAGUAGAAGAAACAAUGGAACAAAGUUAUGGACAGUAGAAACAAUGGGACAAUUUAUUGAAUGUGCAGAUUUACCGUCCAAGCACCGUGGAAUCCUCUUCCUUCAAACCUAGGGAAAGACAUACAGCAGAGAAGCCUUGUUUUCGUCAUUAAAAUUUUGCCCUGAAGGUAGUCUGCAUCACUUUUGUUCACAUUUUUCUCCCGAGAAUCAAUAUAUGGUUAUUCUUCAAUGCAAGGAGGGUUACAAAAUAUAGCCCGUGUCUCACCAAUGGCCUAGAGCCAUUCCAGAAAGAAAAACAUUUUGUGGACAACUAGUAGAGCCUGCCAUAGAAGGCAUUCAAUGUAUUUUCAUAAUCCACUUUUCCCUUCUCCUGAUUAGAGUACUCUCUUUCAAAUCUUAGCAGAGGAAUGAGAAGAAACGUGAAAAGAACUCUAACAGGUAGAAUCGCUUCAUUCUCAGAUAUCAUAUUCUGAAUGGCAUAUAUCAGAUCUUGGUACCUGGUACCUGGUUAUAUAUUAAUAUUUCAUAAAUGUUUGAAAAAUACUGUGGACCAGAAGUACUUAGGGAUAAUGCAAAUCAUAACCUUUCUCUUUGAAAAUGUUUCUAACAUAUCA